Molecule: unclassified non-coding RNA, 302 nt
Organism: Cebus imitator (Panamanian white-faced capuchin)
Lineage: Eukaryota; Metazoa; Chordata; Mammalia; Primates; Cebidae
Rfam family: Metazoan signal recognition particle RNA
About the family: The signal recognition particle (SRP) is a universally conserved ribonucleoprotein. It is involved in the co-translational targeting of proteins to membranes.
Source: Ensembl
GCAGGGGGUGGUGAUGUGUGCCUGUAGUCCUAACUACUUGGGAGGCUGAGACAAGAGGAUUGCUUGAGGCUGGAAGUUCUGGGCAGUACUAUGCUGUGCCAUUCUGGUGUCUGAACUUAGUGGCAUCAAUAUGGUGACCUCCCAAGAGUGGGUGACCACCAGAUUGCCUAAGCGGGGUGAACCUGCCCAUGUAGGAAAUAGAACAGGUUAAGACUCUUGUGUGGAUCAAUAGUGGGAUCACACCUGUGAAUAGCCACUACAAUAACACUACAGCCUGGGCAACAUAGUAAGACCCCAUCUCU